Bubalus bubalis (water buffalo) is the source of this 3029-nucleotide long non-coding RNA. RefSeq lists it as uncharacterized. The record is from RefSeq and is a predicted model, not a curated record. NCBI's taxonomy places the organism in Eukaryota, Metazoa, Chordata, Mammalia, Artiodactyla, Bovidae. The transcript has 2 exons.
UAUAUGCCUCUGAUGAUAUAUUUUUAAAAUUACAAAUAUUUUUUAUUUUUCAGCCACUCCACUUGGCAUGUGGGAUCAUAGUUCCCCAACCAGAGAUCGAACCCAAACUCCCUACAUUCAAAGUGUGGAGUCUUGACCACUGGACUACCAGGGAAGUCCCUUUGGUGAUAUUUUUUUUUCCUGUUCUUCUGAAAGAUGUUAAAUUUAUUAUGACUGGAAAUUUUUUUAUUUCUUCUUGGAGGUAGAAGGACUUUGGGGGAUCAGUUAGAUGAGAUAAGAAAACUGAAUUUGUCUCUUAACAUUUUUAAGUUAUUUACUUUUCCAAGCCUCAGUUUCUUCAUCUCUCAGUUUUACACUCCAGAGAAUAUUUAUCACAUAAGAGAGUUUUUACCAGAAAUAAGAACUGGUUGAAGACAAUCUCCCUUGUCUGUUCUUGGAUGUUUUGCCUUUAUUUCCUUCCCUCGUUACUGAAGAACAAUUUCUCUCCUUCAACUCUUCCCUUCCUUCAUUCUUUGCCCCUUUUUUUGUCUUUCUUUACCUUUUAAAAAAUUUCUUUACCAGUUUGUUAUAAAGGAGACUUAAAAGAUACAGCAGCCAGAUGAAGAUGUGUGUUGGGCAAGGUCCGGAAGGGUACCCUGUAUAGGAGCUUCUGUCUCCAAGGAACUGGGUGCUGCAUCCUCGUUGCUUGUGGAUGCUUUAAUGAACCCAGGAACUUUCUGCCUUCUGUGGAAUGGAUACACAGUUGGCCCUCUGAAUCUGCAGGUGCGAACCCCAGGACACUGAACACUGACUGUAUUCAGUGUAUUAAGGGGCCACUUUAUAUGAGACUUGUGCAUCCAUGGACCCUGAAACCAAUCUCCUAUGGACACAGAGGGACUGACUGAGAAACUGUGGGUAACCAACUGGUUUAAUCCAUUUCACCUGUAACCUGCCUUCGCUAAUCAAGAUCGGUUCAACUGUUGCUGCAAAAAGCCUGCUUGUCCUCUAAGCAGCUGCUGCUGCUGCUGCUGCUGCUAAGUUGCUUCAGUCGUGUCCAACUCCGUGUGACUCCAUAGACGGCAGCCCACCAGGCUCCUCCGCCCAUGGGAUUUUCCAGGCAAGAGUACUGGAGUGGGGUGCCAUUGCCUUCUCCCUCUAAGCAGCAUGGCGUCUAAAUAACAAGAUGUUCUCCAGGAACCCAGAUCAGCUGUGUCUAGCUGGAGCUGGGCUGGUUGACUGGGAAGGACUACCCACCCUCCACCUGGGCUUGUGUGAGUGUCACUCACUGACCUUUUUACAGAGGGCUGGAAACGCCACCCUCACACCUUGCCAAGCAUUUCUUUUUUUGAACUUGCAGAGGCUGCGGCUGAGCUGCAUCUGUGAAGAGCAAAGAGGUCACCUCUUUCUCAUCACCUUUCCCCAAGAGCCCCACGUACCUGCGCCUGAGGACGCCAGCUCAUUCCAUAAAUACCUCAACCCCUUCCUUACGGGAGGUGCAUCUGAGACUUUCUCCUUUCAUUUCUACCUUAGGCUGCCUUGCACAUAAACCUCAUCUCUGCUGCAGAGCUUGGGGUCUCAGGAUUUGGCUCGCUGGGCGUUGGGGAAAAGAAACCUAGUUUGGUAACAACUUUACAACUGAAGGUGCCACCUGGUGCGGAAGGAAAAGCUCUGAGCUGUACUUUAGAAGAACUAAGAAUGGUACUAGGCCAGCAUGGUACCAACUUCUCCAUACUGGUUUUCUCACCAGGAAAGCUAAAAGGAAAGCACAGCUUCUCGGCGCCAUCAGCUCCUUUGAUGACUGGGUUGUAGGUCUAGCAGCUUCCCUGGCGCCCACUUUGAGCCUCACUGAUGCCCCAGGUAUCACGAGUUCACUGGAGCCCUGUGCUAAUGGGCGUGGGUACCACAACCCAAGGAUGAGGCUGCCAGAAAUCGCCGCAGACACACACGCAUGCGCAUACACAUGGUGUGCGUCCCUGCUCCGCUCAACGCAAGUCCACACCCGGACUUCACUUACAAAGCACAUAUUCAAGGGUACAAUGAUUAAGACCUGUAAGAGGGUGCUAGCAGAGUGUUACACCCAGCACAGGACCCUCCAGAGCGUGGAGCGCUGCAGACCUCACGUUAUCCAUCUCCGAACCGCCCUAGCUCGGCAUCGGUACUUCCCACCCCAGACUUACCUUCUUGCUGGUAAAUGAUCCGGGUUCCAAGCCUCCGGCCUCUGAAAUGAAAGCCAGGUGAGGGAGAGGGAGGAGGAACCAGGCCCCAUCGAUGUUGCUGAAGGUGUGGGUGAAGACAGAAGGAAAAGGAACUCUGUGUUGCUUUGUUGUCCCUUUAGUCACUGCCAACGGACAUUGAAGUGUUCACACACAAAGCUGCUGCAGGCCAGUGCGGGAGAAACUCCUAAGGAGGCCCACACUGUGUGAUUUUAAGAACUGGAUCGAAACAGCUGCUCCCCCACCCCCAUCCCCACCCCCCAGCCCGUGGCUUUGGGAAGGAUAUGUCCUUUCUCUCAUCCUGAGCUUGACCUUCAGCUCUGCCAGGCUGAGGCCAGGGACACCUGUCAGGCCCCAGAUAGAAACCCGUGUUCUUGGGGAAGGGUGGGGGCUAGCAGUACGCUGUCAUCUACAAUCCACCUAGCUGUAUCAGUUCUGGAAUUCUCUGGCACUGCCAGGCCUGGGUUUGACCCCUGUUUGGGGAACUGAGAUCCCAGGAGUCAUACAGUGUGGCCAAAAACAAAAAACAAACAACCCCACCACACCCCACAAAAAACCCAAACUGUAUCAAUCCUAACCUCCCACCCUCCCACUCCUAGAAGUUUGGUGAAGAACACUCAGGCUCUCUCUGCAAUCAAGGCUGGUGUGUAAUUUACCCUCUGUUUAAACCCCAAUGUAGGGGCUUCGCUGCUGGCUAGGUGGUAAAGAAUCUAUCCGCUAGUGCAGGGGACACCAGUUCAAUCCCUGAUUUGGGAAGAUCCCACAUGUGGUGCAGCAACUAAACCCGUUCAAGCCAACUACCAAGCCUGUGCUCUGGAGCCCAGGAGCGGCAACCAC